This 56-nucleotide transfer RNA is filed under the name Loxodonta africana (African savanna elephant). It matches the Rfam family "tRNA", at positions 10 to 63 of the family's 71-position model. From Rfam's summary of the family: Transfer RNA (tRNA) molecules are approximately 80 nucleotides in length. Their secondary structure includes four short double-helical elements and three loops (D, anti-codon, and T loops). Lineage: Eukaryota; Metazoa; Chordata; Mammalia; Proboscidea; Elephantidae. The record is from Rfam by way of RNAcentral.
GAUGAGUGGUUAAAGCACUCAGCUGCUAACUGAAAGGUUGGUGGUUCAAAUCCACC